GGCCAGACCUAAUUUUCACACUCUGGAGAGGAUCUCUUGGAUGCUUAAGCUCCUUUUCAUCUUAUCUAGGGUUUGAUUUUCCAUUCUUCCAUUAUUUUCAUCUAGGUUCACCAUGACAAUGGUGAACUAAACCCUUUUGUUGUUGGGGGAAACAAUGUAAUCUUUUGAAACUCUCUUUUAUUGAAACUCUUGUUUAUUUAUAUGAUUCUUCAUAUGCUUUGAUUAUCAAUUGUUGGGUUCUCAUCUGCGCUUAAUGCUUUUGUCUUUUAACUCAUUCGAUAACCGUUGUUUGUCUUUAUUGAUACAGGAAUGUACAGUAAUGUCAUGAACUGGUGAGAAAUUCCUUGAUUAAGCAAUACCAACCUAGGGAUAGGGGGUAGGACGAUCAAUUGUUUUUGCUUUUGUUCUUAAUGCAUUAUUAAUUGCUAGGGGAGGCUAGGGAUAGCAAGCCGGUAAUUAGUAAUAGGCUCUUUUCGCCGAGGGAUCGGGUUAAGGGUAGGCCAAGAAAGUUUGCAUAACAAUUAGAUAAUCAAGCACAUUAAACAAGAGGAGUAGGUAAGAGAGAGCGAAUUAGAUGAAAUUGUAAACCCCCAACAACUUCAUUCAUCCAUAGUCUUUUUCGUCAAUUGAAUCAAACACAUUGCAUGUUUAUUUUCUGUCUUUGCAUCCACAACAAUUAAUUCUUUCUUUACAAGUCUUACGAUUUUGAUUCACAUGAACGAGCCUUUCAAGUCUCUUGGGAAGAACGAUAUCGGGUAUUGCACGAUCUGGUACACUUGCCAGUGAGUCAACAGCUUGCAAGGAGGAUACUUUCCCUUGCUGUUUGGUUGUUGGUUCUUUUUUUGUUUUUCCAACGGUCUUCAUGUUUAGCAGGCAAGGCUUCCUAAACAAAGCCUUCUUCUCUCAUACC
Molecule: long non-coding RNA, 910 nt
Filed under: Vigna radiata
Lineage: Eukaryota; Viridiplantae; Streptophyta; Magnoliopsida; Fabales; Fabaceae
Description: long non-coding RNA (VRAD_LNC006597)
Source: RNAcentral